GGGGCUGUUUUGGUUUCGACAUUUAAAAUGCAUUAAUAGAUGAAUCAGGUCGAAGUUUAGAGUCUUCGAAAAAAAACCUAUAUUUAUAAUAACUGCUAAGAAUAUAAUUUUAUCAUUUGUUACUUUUGCAAAUUCAAUUUUCAAAAUUAAUCAGUUAAAUUCAUUAAAAUUUGCUGUUUAAAAAUUAUUUUUUUUAAUAUUAUUUCACUAUUACUAGACAUUUUUCUAGUAUAUAGUUUAGAAUAACAUAAAAUAAUCUUCUGUUCAUUAGAACUAUACCUGUGAAUAAGUUUAUUAAAAUAAUUUUAAAUGGACGUGGGUUCAAUUCCCAUCAGCUCCA
This 340-nucleotide transfer-messenger RNA is filed under the name Tryblionella compressa. It matches the Rfam family "transfer-messenger RNA". From Rfam's summary of the family: Bacterial tmRNA, also known as 10Sa RNA or SsrA, is named for its dual tRNA and mRNA-like properties. Its role is to liberate the mRNA from a stalled ribosome. Lineage: Eukaryota; Bacillariophyta; Bacillariophyceae; Bacillariales; Bacillariaceae. The record is from RNAcentral.